ACUGACGGGGUAUCGGGCUUGCUUGGACAUGCCCCAAGUUGCCCUAAAAUCCACAGAGCAGGAAACCUGUGCGCACUCACUGGCAGACAGCUCGCGUUCAGGAGACGUUAAACCGACUGAUGGAUCUUCACUGCAGGGACAGACUGACAGGAGAAGUGGAUGCCUUUAUUGGAUAAGAGCAGCUGAAGAGAGACAGGAAAGGGGGGAGAGAGAGAGAAUGACAUGAAGCACAUUGCCCCAGGCUGGAAACAAACCCGCCCACUACAGUAAGGACUCACUAAGGACCAGGACCACCUGGUGCUGCUGCUAGUUGCCAGAUUUUGGAUUAUCCUGCAUAACAAUGGGCCAAAGGACUGUUUGGACCAGCUCCAUUCCCGAGCUGCCAGGGACCGCACUGCCUCUUGCCCUUCAGAGACAGUGGCUCUCCUCCCCAUCGUAGCACACAUGGAUGCACGGCCGCUCUGGGAUGAUGCUCCCCCUCACACACAUUCAACUGUUAAUUAACGUGUCCUUGUGUUUAUGGCCAUCCAGUGGCCCACAAGGGAGUCAGUGAGGUCUACAUUUGUGUACACACAGUCAUGCACACACAGUGUUAAGUUCAUACACAGCAUGUCAUUUGUACAGUUAACAAGUGCACAGUGGGCAAAACAGAUGCAUUUUAGUGAUAGUAAAAAAGAAGAAAACUCACAAUAAAAAAUGUCUCAAAGGAAUAAAAGCCUAAUUCAACUUUGUGUGGGCUGAAUAAGUACA
Molecule: long non-coding RNA, 750 nt
Organism: Dicentrarchus labrax (European seabass)
Lineage: Eukaryota; Metazoa; Chordata; Actinopteri; Moronidae
Exons: 3
Source: RefSeq, a predicted model, not a curated record